CCAGUGACACUGUUCAACGGCCGCGGUAUCCUAACCGUGCGAAGGUAGCGUAAUCACUUGUUCUUUAAAUGAGGACUAGUAUGAAUGGCACCACGAGGGUUAUACUGUCUCCUUUCUUUAAUCAGUGAAACUAAUCUCCCCGUGAAGAAGCGGGGAUAAUUUUAUAAGACGAGAAGACCCUAUGGAGCUUUAAACAAGUAAUAAUUGCCUUUAUUAAUUUUUAAUCUACGGAAAUUUACCCUCUUAUCCAGGCACUCUAAUUACACGUUUUAGGUUGGGGUGACCGCGGAGCAUAAAAUAACCUCCAUAGUGAACGGGUAUUAUUCCCUAAACCCAGGGCUACAACCCUAAGCAUCAAUAAAUUGACACCCAUUGACCCAAUAUCUUGAUCAAUGAACCAAGUUACCCUAGGGAUAACAGCGCAAUCCACUUCAAGAGCCCCUAUCGACAAGUGGGUUUACGACCUCGAUGUUGGAUCAGGGUAUCCCAGUGGUGCAGCCGCUACUAAAGGUUCGUUUGUUCAACGAUUAAAACCCUACGUGAUCU
Molecule: ribosomal RNA, 546 nt
Filed under: Leptodactylus guianensis
Lineage: Eukaryota; Metazoa; Chordata; Amphibia; Anura; Leptodactylidae
Description: partial 16S ribosomal RNA
Rfam family: Bacterial large subunit ribosomal RNA
Source: RNAcentral